GAUGAAGGAGAAAGGCCCCUCAGCGGCACCUUCACACUCCUACGCAACCCCACAAAAAGUGAGGGGAGGACCCUCACUCUGAAAAGAGGAGGGAAAUUAAAGAGGAAGAGCGACGAGCUACGUCGAAAACAGAUGAAGGACAAGCCACACCAAAGACCUAAGGAACCUUAUCUCAACAAAGAUGGGAAGUUCCUACCAAACACCCCC
This 207-nucleotide long non-coding RNA is filed under the name Elaeis guineensis (African oil palm). Its description in RNAcentral is "long non-coding RNA (EGUI_LNC071437)". The record is from RNAcentral. Lineage: Eukaryota; Viridiplantae; Streptophyta; Magnoliopsida; Arecales; Arecaceae.